GGUCUCCUAUGCUUACCACAGGCUAUGUUCUUACACUGACUGUAUAAAAAGAGGAGACAGAGUAAACCUACCACAUAUAUACCUCAGCCCAGGCCUUAUUCCUGGUCUGUAUUAUGAAUCAGGGAACAUCG
Small nucleolar RNA from Cynocephalus volans (Philippine flying lemur), 131 nucleotides. RefSeq annotates it as small nucleolar RNA SNORA51. Lineage: Eukaryota; Metazoa; Chordata; Mammalia; Dermoptera; Cynocephalidae. The record is from RefSeq and is a predicted model, not a curated record. The transcript has a single exon.